Molecule: ribosomal RNA, 482 nt
Filed under: uncultured bacterium
Lineage: Bacteria
Description: partial 16S ribosomal RNA
Rfam family: Bacterial small subunit ribosomal RNA
Source: RNAcentral
AUUGAACGCUGGCGGCAUGAUUUACACAUGCAAGUCGAACGGUAACAGGCCGCCAGGUGCUGACGAGUGGCGCACGGGUGAGUAAUGCAUCGGAACGUGCCCAGUCGUGGGGGAUAACUACUCGAAAGAGUAGCUAAUACCGCAUACGAUCUAUGGAUGAAAGCGGGGGACCGUAAGGCCUCGCGCGAUUGGAGCGGCCGAUGUCAGAUUAGGUAAUUGGUGGGGUAAAGGCUCACCAAGCCAACGAUCUGUAGCUGGUCUGAGAGGACGACCAGCCACACUGGAACUGAGACACGGCCCAGACUCCUACGGGAGGCAGCAGUGGGGAAUUUUGGACAAUGGGCGCAAGCCUGAUCCAGCAAUGCCGCGUGCAGGAAGAAGGCCUUCGGGUUGUAAACUGCUUUUGUACGGAACGAAACGGCUCUGGUUAAUACCCGGGGCUAAUGACGGUACCGUAAGAAUAAGCACCGGCUAACUACGUG